UACGUAGGGGGCUAGCGUUGUCCGGAUUUAUUGGGCGUAAAGAGCGUGUAGGCGGCCAGAUAGGUCUGCUGUGAAAACUCGAGGCUCAACCUCGAGCUGUCGGCGGAAACCAUCCGGCUAGAGUCCGGAAGAGGAGAGUGGAAUUCCCGGUGUAGCGGUGAAAUGCGCAGAUAUCAGGAGGAACACCGGUGGCGAAGGCGGGUCUCUGGGCCGUAACUGACGCUGAGGAGCGAAAGCAUGGGGAGCGAACAGG
RNAcentral lists this ribosomal RNA (253 nucleotides) under uncultured bacterium. Its description in RNAcentral is "partial 16S ribosomal RNA". It matches the Rfam family "Bacterial small subunit ribosomal RNA", at positions 524 to 776 of the family's 1533-position model. The record is from RNAcentral.